UCCUACGGGAGGCAGCAGUGAGGAAUAUUGGACAAUGGGCGGGAGCCUGAUCCAGCCAUGCCGCGUGCAGGAAGACUGCCCUAUGGGUUGUAAACUGCUUUUAUACGGGAAGAAACCCACCUACGUGUAGGUGGCUGACGGUACCGUAAGAAUAAGGACCGGCUAACUCCGUGCCAGCAGCCGCGGUAAUACGGAGGGUCCGAGCGUUAUCCGGAAUCAUUGGGUUUAAAGGGUCCGCAGGCGGCCAGAUAAGUCAGUGGUGAAAUUCCGUGGCUCAACCACGGAACUGCCAUUGAUACUGUUUGGCUUGAAUCAGUUCGAGGAUGCCGGAAUGUGUGGUGUAGCGGUGAAAUGCAUAGAUAUCACACAGAACACCAAUUGCGAAGGCAGGUGUCCAGAACUGUAUUGACGCUGAUGGACGAAAGCGUGGGUAGCGAACAGGAUUAGAUACCCUGGUAGUCCACGCCGUAAACGAUGGUCACUAGCUGUCCCGACUUAGGUCUGGGUGGCCAACCGAAAGUGAUAAAUGACCCACCUGGUGAGUACGUUC
Molecule: ribosomal RNA, 550 nt
Filed under: uncultured bacterium
Lineage: Bacteria
Description: bacterial SSU rRNA
Rfam family: Bacterial small subunit ribosomal RNA
Source: RNAcentral